GACGACGCUGGCGGUGUGCUUCACACAUGCAAGUCGAACGAGGUAGCAAUACCUAGUGGCGGACGGGUGAGUAACGCGUGGGAAUCUGCCUUUAGAUGGGGGAUAACGGGUCGAAAGACUCGCUAAUACCGCAUAUGACGAAAGUUGAAAGGAGUAAUCCGUCUAAAGAUGAGCCCGCGUCCGAUUAGCUAGUUGGUAGAGUAAAAGCCUACCAAGGCGACGAUCGGUAGCUGGUCUGAGAGGAUGAUCAGCCACAAUGGGACUGAGACACGGCCCAUACUCCUACGGGAGGCAGCAGUGGGGAAUUUUACGCAAUGGGCGAAAGCCUGACGUAGCGACACCGCGUGAGCGAAGAAGCCCCUUGGGGUGUAAAGCUCUGUCAGCUGGAACGAAAAAAAUGACGGUACCAGCAGAGGAAGCAUCGGCUAACUACGUG
RNAcentral lists this ribosomal RNA (436 nucleotides) under uncultured bacterium. RNAcentral describes it as "bacterial SSU rRNA". It matches the Rfam family "Bacterial small subunit ribosomal RNA", at positions 33 to 507 of the family's 1533-position model. The record is from RNAcentral.